UACGUAGGGUGCGAGCGUUGUCCGGAAUUACUGGGCGUAAAGGGCUCGUAGGCGGCCAACUAAGUCGGACGUGAAAUCCCUCGGCUUAACCGGGGAACUGCGUCCGAUACUGGAUGGCUUGAGUUCGGGAGAGGGAUGCGGAAUUCCAGGUGUAGCGGUGAAAUGCGUAGAUAUCUGGAGGAACACCGGUGGCGAAGGCGGCAUCCUGGACCGACACUGACGCUGAGGAGCGAAAGCGUGGGGAGCGAACAGG
Molecule: ribosomal RNA, 253 nt
Filed under: uncultured bacterium
Lineage: Bacteria
Description: partial 16S ribosomal RNA
Rfam family: Bacterial small subunit ribosomal RNA
Source: RNAcentral